GAUGAACGCUGGCGGCGUGCCUAAUACAUGCAAGUCGAGCGAACGGACGAGAAGCUUGCGUCUCUGAUGUUAGCGGCGGACGGGUGAGUAACACGUGGAUAACCUACCUAUAAGACUGGGAUAACUUCGGGAAACCGGAGCUAAUACCGGAUAAUAUUUUGAACCGCAUGGUUCAAAAGUGAAAGACGGUCUUGCUGUCACUUAUAGAUGGAUCCGCGCUGCAUUAGCUAGUUGGUAAGGUAACGGCUUACCAAGGCAACGAUGCAUAGCCGAACUGAGAGGGUGGUCGGCCACACUGGAACUGAGACACGGUCCAGACUCCUACGGGAGGCAGCAGUAGGGAAUCUUCCGCAAUGGGCGAAAGCCUGACGGAGCAACGCCGCGUGAGUGAUGACGGUCUUCGGAUCGUAAAACUCUGUUAUUAGGGAAGAACAUAUGUGUAAGUAACUGUGCACAUCUUGACGGUACCUAAUCAGAAAGCCACGGCUAACUACGUG
Molecule: ribosomal RNA, 497 nt
Filed under: uncultured bacterium
Lineage: Bacteria
Description: partial 16S ribosomal RNA
Rfam family: Bacterial small subunit ribosomal RNA
Source: RNAcentral